CAAGUAAUUAAGUGCAUGUGGUGGAUGCCUUGGCAGUCAGAGGCGAUGAAAGACGUGAUAGCCUGCGAAAAGCUCCGGGGAGGCGGCAAAUAUCCUUUGAUCCGGAGAUGUCUGAAUGGGGGAACCCACCUACUUUAAGGUAGGUAUUGCAACAUGAAUACAUAGUGUUGCAAGGCGAACGAGGGGAAGUGAAACAUCUCAGUACCCUUAGGAAAAGAAAUCAAUUGAGAUUCCCUCAGUAGCGGCGAGCGAACGGGGAUCAGCCCAUUAAGUUAUGUGUGUUUUAGUGGAACGCUCUGGGAAGUGCGAACGUAGAGGGUGAUAUUCCCGUACACGAAAGGGCACACAUAAUGAUGACGAGUAGGGCGAGGCACGUGAAACCUUGUCUGAAUAUGGGGGGACCAUCCUCCAAGGCUAAAUACUCCUGACUGACCGAUAGUGAACCAGUACCGUGAGGGAAAGGCGAAAAGAACCCCUGUGAGGGGAGUGAAAUAGAUCCUGAAACCGCAUGCAUACAAGCAGUGGGAGCACCUUCGUGGUGUGACUGCGUACCUUUUGUAUAAUGGGUCAGCGACUUAUAUUCAGUAGCGAGGUUAACCGUAUAGGGGAGCCGUAGAGAAAUCGAGUCUUAAUAGGGCGUUUAGUUGCUGGGUAUAGACCCGAAACCAGGCGAUCUAUCCAUGAGCAGGUUGAAGGUUGGGUAACACUAACUGGAGGACCGAACCCACUGUCGUUGAAAAGCCAGGGGAUGACUUGUGGAUAGGGGUGAAAGGCUAAUCAAGCCUGGUGAUAGCUGGUUCUCCCCGAAAGCUAUUUAGGUAGCGCCUCGGACGAAUACCAUAGGGGGUAGAGCACUGUUUCGGCUAGGGGGUCAUCCCGACUUACCAAACCGAUGCAAACUCCGAAUACCUAUGAGUACUAUCCGGGAGACAGACUGCGGGUGCUAACGUCCGUAGUCAAGAGGAAAACAAUCCAGACCGCCAGCUAAGGCCCCAAAAUCAUAGUUAAGUGGGAAACGAUGUGGGAAGGCAUAGACAGCUAGGAGGUUGGCUUAGAAGCAGCCACCCUUUAAAGAAAGCGUAAUAGCUCACUAGUCGAGUCGGCCUGCGCGGAAGAUGUAACGGGGCUAAAACUAUGUGCCGAAGCUGCGGAUGUAUACUUUGUAUACGUGGUAGGGGAGCGUUCUGUAAGCCGAUGAAGGUGUGUUGAGAAGCAUGCUGGAGGUAUCAGAAGUGCGAAUGCUGACGUGAGUAACGACAAAACGGGUGAAAAACCCGUUCGCCGAAAGACCAAGGGUUCCAGUCCAACGUUAAUCGGGGCUGGGUGAGUCGACCCCUAAGGCGAGGCCGAAAGGCGUAGUCGAUGGGAAAAUGGUUAAUAUUCCAUUACUUCUGUGUAAUGCGAUGAGAGGACGGAGAAGGCUAAAUCAGCCUGGCGUUGGUUGUCCAGGUGAAAGGAAGUAGGCAUGUAUCUUAGGCAAAUCCGGGGUACUCUAUGCUGAGAUCUGAUAGCAAGCUGUACUUGUACAGCGAAGUGGUUGAUGCCAUGCUUCCAGGAAAAGUCUCUAAGCUUCAGUUACACAGGAAUCGUACCCGAAACCGACACAGGUGGUCAGGUCGAGUAGACCAAGGCGCUUGAGAGAACUCUGCUGAAGGAACUAGGCAAAAUGGUACCGUAACUUCGGGAGAAGGUACGCUGUUGUUGGUGAUGGAACUCGCUUCCUGAGCUGACGACAGCCGCAGAAACCAGGCCGCUGCAACUGUUUAUUAAAAACAUAGCACUCUGCAAACACGAAAGUGGACGUAUAGGGUGUGAUGCCUGCCCGGUGCUGGAAGGUUAAUUGAUGGGGUUAGCGUAAGCGAAGCUCUUGAUCGAAGCCCCAGUAAACGGCGGCCGUAACUAUAACGGUCCUAAGGUAGCGAAAUUCCUUGUCGGGUAAGUUCCGACCUGCACGAAUGGCAUAAUGAUGGCGGCGCUGUCUCCAGCAGAGGCUCAGUGAAAUCGAAAUCGCUGUGAAGAUGCAGUGUACCCGCGGCUAGACGGAAAGACCCCGUGAACCUUUACUGCAGCUUGACACUGAACUUUGACCUUACUUGUGUAGGAUAGGUGGGAGGCUUUGAAGCUGGAACGCUAGUUCCAGUGGAGCCGUCCUUGAAAUACCACCCUGGUAAUGUUGAGGUUCUAACUCUGUCCCGUGAUCCGGGACGAGGACCGUGUCUGGUGGGUAGUUUGACUGGGGCGGUCUCCUCCUAAAGAGUAACGGAGGAGUACGAAGGUGCGCUCAGCGUGGUCGGAAAUCACGCGUAGAGUAUAAAGGCAAAAGCGCGCUUAACUGCGAGACCCACAAGUCGAGCAGGUACGAAAGUAGGUCUUAGUGAUCCGGUGGUUCUGUAUGGAAGGGCCAUCGCUCAACGGAUAAAAGGUACUCUGGGGAUAACAGGCUGAUACCGCCCAAGAGUUCAUAUCGACGGCGGUGUUUGGCACCUCGAUGUCGGCUCAUCUCAUCCUGGGGCUGAAGCAGGUCCCAAGGGUAUGGCUGUUCGCCAUUUAAAGAGGUACGCGAGCUGGGUUUAGAACGUCGUGAGACAGUUCGGUCCCUAUCUACCGUGGGCGCUGGAAAUUUGAGAGGAUCUGCUCCUAGUACGAGAGGACCAGAGUGGACGAACCUCUGGUGUACCGGUUGUGACGCCAGUCGCAUCGCCGGGUAGCUAUGUUCGGAAGGGAUAACCGCUGAAAGCAUCUAAGCGGGAAGCCUACCUCAAGAUAAGAUUUCCCUAGGACUUUAUGUCCUCUAAAGAGCCGUUCGAGACUAGGACGUUGAUAGGUUGGAUGUGGAAGCAUAGUGAUAUGUGAAGCUGACCAAUACUAAUUGCUCGUGAGGCUUGACUA
Molecule: ribosomal RNA, 2889 nt
Filed under: Acinetobacter baumannii CI86
Lineage: Bacteria; Pseudomonadati; Pseudomonadota; Gammaproteobacteria; Moraxellales; Moraxellaceae
Also listed under: 1 other name
Description: bacterial LSU rRNA
Rfam family: Bacterial large subunit ribosomal RNA
Source: RNAcentral